AAGAACCGAUUUGAAGAGGUUGCCAUUCACUCUGUCAGGCUGCGUGUGGGAUUCAUCAGGACCCAGCCUCGCUUUCUUUCACCCCGCAUCAAUGUGCCCUAAAGGAUUUUUCUUUAAACCUGAUUGCUUGGAAGGCAUUACCCAAGUGACCACCUGGUAAUUACUUCAACAGCAGAGCGACUCAUACAGCCGGCAGUCCACUUUGUUCUUCUAUAGAUCCUGCCUGUGGUGUUGGAUCUAACAGCUUCUUCCCUGACCCAAGAUUAUGAAGGAUUUCUCCUGUGUUCUCUUCUAAAAAUUUUACAUUUAGGUACAUAAUCCAUUUUGAGCUAAUUCUUUUAAAUAGUGCAAAGUAUGGAUUGAAGUUCUUUUUUUUUUUUUUUUUUGCAGAUACAUAUUUAAUUUUUCCAGCACCAUUUGUUGAAAAGACUAAUGUUCUUGCCUGAAUAGCCUU
RNAcentral lists this long non-coding RNA (454 nucleotides) under Homo sapiens (human). Its description in RNAcentral is "novel transcript". Lineage: Eukaryota; Metazoa; Chordata; Mammalia; Primates; Hominidae. The record is from RNAcentral.